UACAGAGGUGGCAAGCGUUGUUCGGAAUUACUGGGCGUAAAGGGCGCGUAGGCGGCCUUCUAAGUCAGACGUGAAAUCCCCAGGCUUAACUUGGGAACUGCGUCUGAUACUGGGAGGCUUGAAUGCGGGAGAGGGAUGUGGAAUUCCAGGUGUAGCGGUGAAAUGCGUAGAUAUCUGGAGGAACACCGGUGGCGAAGGCGGCAUCCUGGACCGACAUUGACGCUGAGGAGCGAAAGCCAGGGGAGCAAACGGG
Molecule: ribosomal RNA, 253 nt
Filed under: uncultured bacterium
Lineage: Bacteria
Description: partial 16S ribosomal RNA
Rfam family: Bacterial small subunit ribosomal RNA
Source: RNAcentral